Molecule: long non-coding RNA, 3526 nt
Filed under: Brassica rapa (field mustard)
Lineage: Eukaryota; Viridiplantae; Streptophyta; Magnoliopsida; Brassicales; Brassicaceae
Description: long non-coding RNA (BRAP_LNC000564)
Source: RNAcentral
UUAGGGUUAAUGAACUUUGGGUGAGAAUUUGAUUUUCUCCCCCUUUGUUCGUGAAUGGGAAAUUAUGGGUUUCGUCCCAGAGAAAUCGAGCUUAAAGAGUUGAAAUCAUGCUUGGUCGGUUCAAAUCAAGUGGGAAUCAACCCGGAUAUAAUCAUACAAAACCAAAAAAAUCGAUUUGGGAUUCUUUCCUGGGCACGGGAUCGAUCGAUCUAUCUUUACAGAUCGGUCGAUCUGUAAGGAAUCGAUCUUCGCCGAUCGAGUGAAAUGGACCAGGUCAAUCAGUAUAUAUUUCGCGUUUUUUUGUUCUGAAUAAUGAUCGGGAUCGAUCGAUCCACUGUAACUUGUAAAGCGAGAUCGAUCGAUCCCGCUUGUCGAACUCAUUAUUUAUCUUUUUAAAAAAAAUUACAAUUUUAAGGGCAUUACUGCCAUUUUCGAAAAAAUUAGUCUAAUCUCUACUAAUAAAAGGGAGCUUUUGAGGCUCCAUAGGGCGUCCACAUCAGCGGAAAAAAAUUAUCCCGAAAGAUGACACGUGGCAUAAAAUAUAGUUUUACAUUUUAAUAUUAAUUAUUUUCGAAAAUUGUAAAAAAUAUGUAAACAUACAGCAUUAAAAAAUGGAAGCGUCCACAUCAGCGGAAAAAAUUUAUCCCGAAAGAUGACACAUGGCAUAAAAUAUAGUUUUACAUUUUAAUAUUAAUUAUUUUCUACUAAUAAAAGGGAGCUUUUGAGGCUCCAUAGGGCGUCCACAUCAGCGGAAAAAAAUUAUCCCGAAAGAUGACACGUGGCAUAAAAUAUAGUUUUACAUUUUAAUAUUAAUUAUUUUCGAAAAUUGUAAAAAAUAUGUAAACAUACAGCAUUAAAAAAUGGAAGCGUCCACAUCAGCGGAAAAAAUUUAUCCCGAAAGAUGACACAUGGCAUAAAAUAUAGUUUUACAUUUUAAUAUUAAUUAUUUUCGAAAAUUGUAAAAAAUAUGUAAACAUACAGCAUUAAAAAAUGGAAAAACUACAUUAAACAUAUGUAAGAUUACUAUUUUUCACUUAAAAAAAAGACGGCUUAUUUCCAUAAUGCAACAUUACCGUUUUAUAAAAAAAAACAAAAAACAUUAUAUAUAAUUUCGAAAAUAAUAAAUAUAAGUAAAACAUACAACAUAAAAAUGGAAAUACUACAUUAAACAUAAAUAUGUUUGACUUCUCUACUAAUAAAAGAGAGCUUUUGAGGCUCCAUAGGGCGUCCACAUCAGCGGAAAAAAUUUAUCCCGAAAGAUGACACGUGGUAUAAAAUAUAAUUUUACAUUUUAAUAUUAAUUAUUUUAGAAAAUUGUAAAAAAUAUGUAAACAUACAGCAUUAAAAAAUGGAAAAACUACAUUAAACAUAUGUAAGAUUACUAUUUUUCACUUAAAAAAAAAGACGGCUUAUCUCCAUAAUGUAACAUUACCGUUUUAUAAAAAAAAAACAAAAAACAUUAUAUAUAAUUUCGAAAAUAAUAAAUAUAAGUAAAACAUACAACAUAAAAAUGGAAAUACUACAUUAAACAUAAAUAUGUUUGACUAUUUGUCCAAGUUCUUCUAUUAAACACUGCCGUUUUACAUUAAAAAUAGAAAAAUACGUAAAGAUUUAAACAUCUAUCUUAAAAUAUAAAAUAUAGACAUUAACUAAAUAAUAAAAGGGAGCUUUUGAGGCUCCAUAGGGCGUCCACAUCAGCGGAAAAAAAUUAUCCCGAAAGAUGACACGUGGCAUAAAAUAUAGUUUUACAUUUUAAUAUUAAUUAUUUUCGAAAAUUGUAAAAAAUAUGUAAACAUACAGCAUUAAAAAAUGGAAGCGUCCACAUCAGCGGAAAAAAUUUAUCCCGAAAGAUGACACAUGGCAUAAAAUAUAGUUUUACAUUUUAAUAUUAAUUAUUUUCUACUAAUAAAAGGGAGCUUUUGAGGCUCCAUAGGGCGUCCACAUCAGCGGAAAAAAAUUAUCCCGAAAGAUGACACGUGGCAUAAAAUAUAGUUUUACAUUUUAAUAUUAAUUAUUUUCGAAAAUUGUAAAAAAUAUGUAAACAUACAGCAUUAAAAAAUGGAAGCGUCCACAUCAGCGGAAAAAAUUUAUCCCGAAAGAUGACACAUGGCAUAAAAUAUAGUUUUACAUUUUAAUAUUAAUUAUUUUCGAAAAUUGUAAAAAAUAUGUAAACAUACAGCAUUAAAAAAUGGAAAAAACUACAUUAAACAUAUGUAAGAUUACUAUUUUUCACUUAAAAAAAAGACGGCUUAUUUCCAUAAUGCAACAUUACCGUUUUAUAAAAAAAAACAAAAAACAUUAUAUAUAAUUUCGAAAAUAAUAAAUAUAAGUAAAACAUACAACAUAAAAAUGGAAAUACUACAUUAAACAUAAAUAUGUUUGACUUCUCUACUAAUAAAAGAGAGCUUUUGAGGCUCCAUAGGGCGUCCACAUCAGCGGAAAAAAUUUAUCCCGAAAGAUGACACGUGGUAUAAAAUAUAAUUUUACAUUUUAAUAUUAAUUAUUUUAGAAAAUUGUAAAAAAUAUGUAAACAUACAGCAUUAAAAAAUGGAAAAACUACAUUAAACAUAUGUAAGAUUACUAUUUUUCACUUAAAAAAAAAGACGGCUUAUCUCCAUAAUGUAACAUUACCGUUUUAUAAAAAAAAAACAAAAAACAUUAUAUAUAAUUUCGAAAAUAAUAAAUAUAAGUAAAACAUACAACAUAAAAAUGGAAAUACUACAUUAAACAUAAAUAUGUUUGACUAUUUGUCCAAGUUCUUCUAUUAAACACUGCCGUUUUACAUUAAAAAUAGAAAAAUACGUAAAGAUUUAAACAUCUAUCUUAAAAUAUAAAAUAUAGACAUUAACUAAAUAUAAAGUAUAAAAAAGAGAAAUACUCAAUAUAUAAAAAAUAAAUAAUAAGUAAAUAUUAUAAAUAUAUAAAUAUAUGAAUUAUAUAUACAAUACUAAGUAAAUGCACAAUUUUUUAAAAAUGGAAAGAGUAUAUUAAAUAUUAAACAUAUAUCUUAAAAUGUAAAAUAUAGAUAUUAAGUAAAUAGAAAAUAUAAGAAAAAGAAAUACACAACUUAAAAACAAUGGAAAAAGUAUAUUAAGAUUUAAACAUCUAUCUUAAAAUGUAAAAUAUAGAUAUUACGCAAAUAGAAAGUAUAAGAAAAGGAAAUACACAAUUUAAGAAAAUAGAAAAAGUACAUUAGUAUUUAAACAUCUAUCUUAAAAUGUAAAUCAAUCUUAAAAUAUAAAAUUAUUAGUAAAUAGAAAGUAUAAGAAAUAAAAAUACACAAUAUAAAGAAAAAUAAAUAAUAAGUAAAUAUAUAAUAUAAUCUCGAAAGAUGACACAUGGCAUUAAAAUAUAGUUUUACAUUUUAAUAUUACUUAUUUUCGAAAAUUAUAAAAAAUAUGUAAACAUACAGCAUAAAAAAAAUGUAAAAACUACAUUAAACAUAUGUAAAAUUACUAUUUUUCACUUAAAAAAAGACGGCUUAUCUCCAUAAUGUAACAUUACCGUUUUAUAAAAAAACAAAAAA